GUGCCCUUUUGGGGGUGAUGAAUGACUUACGUUUAUCUCCUCUCGGGACUCCUGGAAAUCUGGCCUUUGGAGAGGUCCUUAGUUGUGGAGUUGGGAAGACGGCAGGAGGCUCGUGGAGGGAAGUGGCCCUGUUCUCUCAUCUCAGUGAGAAAAGUCCCAUUUUAAUUUGCUGUCACUAUUGGAUGGAGCUGCUAAUUGCUGGAGGGAGAGGAAGGAAGAACGCCUCAGCUCAUCGACACGUUCGCCGCCCGCUUGUUCUAGGAACUCUAUUUAUGAAUCUUUAAAAUAGUGAUUAUCCUAAACUGUUAAAAUCAAACUCCAUUCACAACUCUUUCAUUUCUUGCUAAUUCAGGGGAAAAACAUUUCCAAUCACUUUAAUUUUUUUUAAAUUAAUGACUUUAAAACAAGUUCAGCUGAAAGACUUCAUAAUCUUGCUAAAUGAGCACAGGCGAGCCUCAGUGUGCCCCUUGGAGGGUUCCUGAAUUAUUCCGUGGUAACGGAAGGUUUUCUUGAAGGUUCUGUUUCCAUGGCGUUGGGUGGAAGCCCUGACUCUUUUGGUUGGGGCACCUGGGUGGCUCAGUGGGUUGAGCCUCUGCCUUCGGCUCAGGUCAUGAUCUCAGGGUCCUGGGAUCGAGCCCUGCAUUGGGCUCUCUGCUCAGCGGAGCCUGCUCCCCCGCCUGCCUCUCUGCCUACUUGUGAUCUCUCUGUCAAAUAAAUAAGUAAAAUCUUAAAAAAAAAAAAAUUCGCCGAGGCAUCCCCACUGCUCUACCUCUGACGUUUUCCACGUAGUAAAUGUGUAUUUUGAGCCAAUUAGGCUAUCUGGGCCUGAAUCCCGAUUUUACCACGUAGCAGCUGUGUGACUGUGGUUGUGUUUCUUAACUUCUCUGUGCCUGUUGGCUCCUUAGUAAAACGGGCGUAAUAACAGUCCCCACUGGGUUGUUACAAGGAUUCACUGGCAAACAUUUGUCCAGUGCAAGGAAUGAUGGCACCGAGUAAAUGCUCCGUGUGUGUUCACUGUUGUGUUUUUACGGCUCUUGGUGUGACAUGGCACACUGGCCGUGCAGGGGAGGAAAUGCAUCCGUGUUGGUCCGGGGCCUGCUUUCCCCCAGAGGUGUUAGUUCAUACAGCGCCAUUGGGGGCUGAUACGCCCUGAGCACCUACAUUCCGCACCCACCCACCCCCCACCCCCCUGCGCCCCCAGGAGCUGAUCUCUUGUACCCUGGUGGCCAGGGUACUCUUUGUCCCAUUGACCCGUGGCCUGAUGAGUCAUUCCAGUUCUCAUUUAAAUUUAGCUGGGCAGCACUCCACCGGCUUGGGUUCCAAAUGCCGAGCAGGCUCACCCAGGGUCCAAUAGCCCAUGCCUGUGGCCAGGCGAGCAAAUCUGUGUGGUUGACUCCGAGAUGAGGAGCACAGGCCCCAGCUUAUGGAGGGAAGUCUGGGCUCGAGGCCGGUGGGCAUUCCAGAGCUCCUUCCCUGCCCUGCCACCCCCCCACCCCCCCAACCCCAUGUAGCUAGUAGUGGAUUUGGAAACAUAAUUUUCAGUGCUUGGUACAUGACGGGUUCUGUGCUAAGUGCAUUCACAGUCAGGCUGUCCUCACGCGCUCUGGCCACCCUGUGAGGGAGAUAUUAGUUGCAAUUUCCCUGAUGGGCAGAGGGAAGCAUGGGAGGUUAAUAGACUUGUCCACGGUAAGACCGUGAAGGGGGCAUCAGGGUUUGUGCUCAGACCUUUGGGCUCUGAGUUCAUUGCAUUUUCCGGAAUGCCCUGCUUGGACCUUCGGGCCCGGAUGGAAUCAGAAGGGAAGGGGGCAUACGGGAAGGACCAGUUCCGUGUUUCCUGCAGCCAGUGGCCACGAGGCUGAUCGCUUGGUCUCCUCUGGCCUUCUGGUCUUCUCCAGUGGCGCGAGAGGAGGAAAGUAGGGUUGGGGGCUGCUUACUUCAGAGGGUUCAGAUUUUUGGGGGUUGGGGCCACAGAAGUCCACGGAGCAAGGCUUCACCACCUUAUCUCUCACCAACAUAGAGAGACCAGCUUCUAGUGAUAGAGACCUUUAUGCUGACUCAAAAAAGGAAAAAAAAAACACAAAAAACAAAA
Lutra lutra (Eurasian river otter) is the source of this 2089-nucleotide long non-coding RNA. RefSeq lists it as uncharacterized. The transcript is spliced from 2 exons. Lineage: Eukaryota; Metazoa; Chordata; Mammalia; Carnivora; Mustelidae. The record is from RefSeq and is a predicted model, not a curated record.